CCCUUCCAGGACCUUGAAACAAGCCCCGGACAAGGUGGGGCACCUGACACCCCCAAACUUGUCAGGGGAACUGGGGAAAAGGCUCGGCGGCCGGCAGCCGCCCUGCUCGGCUCAAAAGCACCCGGCGAGGACGCGCGCCCGCGGGCCCCGCGUGAAUCAUCGGGGCCCGCUCAGCGGGGCGAUGAUUCAUCCCCCGCCGCACGUUCCGGCCGUCCUCUGACGGCCGCACACGCAGCUUCCUUAAUAUUGAACAAAUGUUUCAAAGUACAAACGCCUGCAGCCAGAAACGUGGGGACCCAGGCGCGGCGGCGGAGAGGAAACUGCACGUUGCGGCCGUUGCCAGUGUUCCCGGGGCGGGGAGGGCUCGGCGGGCACGGCUGUCCCUCACCCCCAGGCCCCGCCGGCACGCGCGCGGGCGGCGCCCGCAGAGGCGCGGAGGGCGCACAGGUGGGUCCGCGCCCGGCCCCACCGCCCGCCCCUCGCCGAGGCCACCGCACCCUCGCCCGCGCGCCGCUCGCUCGCCCCUCUCCUCUCAGUGACAUCUUAUAUAAUAACCCGAUCAAAUCAAAACGGAAGCGACGCGCGCUGCCGGGCCUGGCCCCCCGGCCCACAGCAGAUGCUCGCGCCCCGAGCCCACGGGCCCUCGAACUAGGCGCCGGGGCGCGCGGCUCCCGGCUGAGGAAGGGCCCGCGCGCCGGCUCAGCUCGUCCCUCCUGGGCGAGGGCGCUGCUGUGGCCGGUCCCCGUCAGGAAGCCGCGAGCGUCACUAACUGCGUCAGCUCCUUCAAACACAUUUCAUGGUCUCCCUCCAGCUCCGGAGCCGCCGCUCGCGCCGCGGGGGCCGCAGCCAGGGGCUGCAAGGCGCCCCUCCGGGGAGGAGAAAGUUCCUCGGGGCCCUCCCCUCGCCCGCACGGCGCCCGGCCCCGCCGCGCCUCCAGCCUUCUCCGCGCGCAGCCCGCACCAAUGUCAGGUUGGGCAACUUGUGACCCGGGGCGCCGGGCGGCCCCAUCCCGCCCGCCAGGCUCUCCCGGCGCCGGGGGGCCUCCCCGCCGCCGCCAACCCCGGCCCGGUGGAAAACGGCCACGCCAGAAACUUCCCCGGCCCGCGUCGGGCGAGGAAGCUGCCUGCGUCCCCGCGCAUCGCCCUUACCUUGCUCUCGAGAGGCCACGAUCCGGGCGGGCGGGCGGCGCGGGGCGCGUGGUGCGCGGGCGCGCGCGCGCGUGGGGCGGUAGGUGAGGCGCCCGCCCAACGGGGGCCGGCCCGGGGCGGGGUGCGGGCGGCGGGCUUGGCCCGCCCCGGGGGGCGGGCGGGCGCGAGGAGAGCAAGCCCUCGGCGGCGGCGGCGGCGGCGGCGGCGGCGGCGGGCGCGGGGCGAGCGCGCCGAGGGGGCGGAGGAGUUGCCGUGGGUUUGUUUACGCAUUGCUGCCCGGCUCGGGGCACAGCCCGCACUCCCUGAUUGGACACAAACUGGGGCACAGCCUCUCGCCGCCCGCCAGGCCUCCUCACGCCGCUGCCGCGCAGCUCCGGGAGAGCCCUGCCGGGCACGGCCCACAGCGGUGCCCGGGCCUGGAGGGGGCGAGCCGCGGCGGCUGCGCAGCACGAGCGAGGAGCCCACGUCUGCCCCGCGGAUCGCUGUCGCCCACCUGUAG
This is a long non-coding RNA of Oryctolagus cuniculus (rabbit), 1647 nucleotides long. Lineage: Eukaryota; Metazoa; Chordata; Mammalia; Lagomorpha; Leporidae. The record is from Ensembl.